Molecule: long non-coding RNA, 180 nt
Organism: Drosophila yakuba
Lineage: Eukaryota; Metazoa; Arthropoda; Insecta; Diptera; Drosophilidae
Exons: 2
Source: RefSeq, a predicted model, not a curated record
ACCUGCAAGUACAAAUUAAACUUAAGCUCUGAAGUAUAAGCCCUUGCUGGGGUUCAAUUCAAGUGCUAUGUAAGCAAACUGAUACAAAUUGAUCAAUGUGAGCAAGAGCGAAAAACAUGAAUACAUCGAAACAAGCCCAAGCAAUAUAAUAUACGCAGCGACUGUGCUUUCCAUGACUAA